UACGUAGGGGGCAAGCGUUGUCCGGAAUCAUUGGGCGUAAAGAGCGUGUAGGCGGUUCAGUAAGUCCGCUGUGAAAGUCAAGGGCUCAACCCUUGAAUGCCGGUGGAUACUGUUGAUCUAGAGUCCGGAAGAGGCGAGUGGAAUUCCUGGUGUAGCGGUGAAAUGCGCAGAUAUCAGGAAGAACACCCGUGGCGAAGGCGGCUCUCUGGGACGGUACUGACGCUGAGACGCGAAAGCGUGGGGAGCGAACAGG
This 253-nucleotide ribosomal RNA is filed under the name uncultured bacterium. Its description in RNAcentral is "partial 16S ribosomal RNA". It matches the Rfam family "Bacterial small subunit ribosomal RNA", at positions 524 to 776 of the family's 1533-position model. The record is from RNAcentral.